AUGAAUCGCCGGUUCGUGAAUCUGCUGGUCAACAAAUUGCGUGCCCCGCGACCGGCCUUCAAGCUGCACUGCAUCGACCCCGCAACCUUGUUCUACCCUGCCAGAUCACCAAAAGCAGCAGCAGCAGAUCCAGCAGCAACAAACGAGCCCGCUCCGGCUUCAGGGAGGCUGCCUUCGCCCGCCAUAUCAUUCGACUGGCCCUGCAGGCCGCACCAAACCGGGUGGAUGCAUUUCAUGCCCUUCAAGAACAGCGUCUUCUCCGUGGACCACGAGGGCCGAAUGAACCAUCCUCUACGACACCGGCUCGCGGUCCGUCCGGGCCAUGCCGCUCACGGACAAGCCUAG
RNAcentral lists this ribosomal RNA (345 nucleotides) under Triticum aestivum (bread wheat). RNAcentral's name for it is "partial small subunit ribosomal RNA". The record is from RNAcentral. Lineage: Eukaryota; Viridiplantae; Streptophyta; Magnoliopsida; Poales; Poaceae.